UCCGCUUCAGCUCUCGUAUAGACGCCUCAAGAGAGUCACGCCUUUUUUCUUCUUGGACUGUUGUUGGUGCUGGACUUAAUUCUGGGCCAAAGUUCCGAAAUAUAUAUAUAUAUAUAUAGUAUAACUUGUUGGACAAAUUUUAUGCCCCUAAUUUGUUGAUGCCCUGGGCCUAAGCCCACCUUGCCCAUGUAUUGGGCCGGGACUGAGAGAAGUAAAGAACUCACCAAAAUUUAAAAAAAAAAACGAAAUCAGACCAUGCUUUUUUGAUUUUCAGCUUUCAGAUAUGCCUUCAAGCCUCCUGUAUUCUGUAUUCACAUCACAAAAUCAAGUAAUCAACCAUUGACCUAAUCACCCAAUCAUUUAAUCAAAUACAGUGAAGAUAUGAAUAUGAUGAAUUGAUGAUUCAUGUCGGAAAUUUUAGAAAGAAAUAAGAAACAAACAAACGAAAAAAAGAACUCACCGAUUUUACGAUUUAUAUAUUGAUUCUGUUUUCCUCUUGCUUUAGACAGAAAAAAAAUCCAACCCAAAUCGUUGCUACACCUAUGAAUCGUUGAUACAACUCCGAAUGAAGGAAAAAAAUCCAAUUUAAUCGAAUGGUAGAGACUGAAGAGUCUCGAUCUCCACGAUUAAGAGUCUCGAGAGAUAGAAUAAGAAACGGAGAAAGGUGAAUAGAAAUCGGACCAUAGACAUCGAUUAAGAGUCUCGAUCUUCACGAUUUUCAAGGGUUCCCGUUACAAAAUUGACGAUUGAAGUUCUCGACAGCAUCUUGGCGCUCACGAAAUAAUCUCCCGCUUGGCCGCCGCUUCCGCUUCAGCUCUCGUAUAGACGCCUCAAGAGAGUCACGCCUUUUUUCUUCUUGGACUGUUGUUGGUGCUGGACUUAAUUCUGGGCCAAAGUUCCGAAAUAUAUAUAUAUAUAUAUAGUAUAACUUGUUGGACAAAUUUUAUGCCCCUAAUUUGUUGAUGCCCUGGGCCUAAGCCCACCUUGCCCAUGUAUUGGGCCGGGACUGAGAGAAGUAAAGAACUCACCAAAAUUUAAAAAAAAAAACGAAAUCAGACCAUGCUUUUUUGAUUUUCAGCUUUCAGAUAUGCCUUCAAGCCUCCUGUAUUCUGUAUUCACAUCACAAAAUCAAGUAAUCAACCAUUGACCUAAUCACCCAAUCAUUUAAUCAAAUACAGUGAAGAUAUGAAUAUGAUGAAUUGAUGAUUCAUGUCGGAAAUUUUAGAAAGAAAUAAGAAACAAACAAACGAAAAAAAGAACUCACCGAUUUUACGAUUUAUAUAUUGAUUCUGUUUUCCUCUUGCUUUAGACAGAAAAAAAAUCCAACCCAAAUCGUUGCUACACCUAUGAAUCGUUGAUACAACUCCGAAUGAAGGAAAAAAAUCCAAUUUAAUCGAAUGGUAGAGACUGAAGAGUCUCGAUCUCCACGAUUAAGAGUCUCGAGAGAUAGAAUAAGAAACGGAGAAAGGUGAAUAGAAAUCGGACCAUAGACAUCGAUUAAGAGUCUCGAUCUUCACGAUUUUCAAGGGUUCCCGUUACAAAAUUGACGAUUGAAGUUCUCGACAGCAUCUUGGCGCUCACGAAAUAAUCUCCCGCUUGGCCGCCGCUUCCGCUUCAGCUCUCGUAUAGACGCCUCAAGAGAGUCACGCCUUUUUUCUUCUUGGACUGUUGUUGGUGCUGGACUUAAUUCUGGGCCAAAGUUCCGAAAUAUAUAUAUAUAUAUAUAGUAUAACUUGUUGGACAAAUUUUAUGCCCCUAAUUUGUUGAUGCCCUGGGCCUAAGCCCACCUUGCCCAUGUAUUGGGCCGGGACUGAGAGAAGUAAAGAACUCACCAAAAUUUAAAAAAAAAAACGAAAUCAGACCAUGCUUUUUUGAUUUUCAGCUUUCAGAUAUGCCUUCAAGCCUCCUGUAUUCUGUAUUCACAUCACAAAAUCAAGUAAUCAACCAUUGACCUAAUCACCCAAUCAUUUAAUCAAAUACAGUGAAGAUAUGAAUAUGAUGAAUUGAUGAUUCAUGUCGGAAAUUUUAGAAAGAAAUAAGAAACAAACAAACGAAAAAAAGAACUCACCGAUUUUACGAUUUAUAUAUU
RNAcentral lists this long non-coding RNA (2089 nucleotides) under Lactuca sativa (garden lettuce). RNAcentral describes it as "long non-coding RNA (LSAT_LNC001883)". The record is from RNAcentral. Lineage: Eukaryota; Viridiplantae; Streptophyta; Magnoliopsida; Asterales; Asteraceae.